RNAcentral lists this transfer RNA (87 nucleotides) under Candidatus Brocadia sp. RNAcentral's name for it is "tRNA-Leu". It matches the Rfam family "tRNA". Rfam says of the family: Transfer RNA (tRNA) molecules are approximately 80 nucleotides in length. Their secondary structure includes four short double-helical elements and three loops (D, anti-codon, and T loops). The record is from RNAcentral. Lineage: Bacteria; Pseudomonadati; Planctomycetota; Candidatus Brocadiia; Candidatus Brocadiales; Candidatus Brocadiaceae.
GCGAGGGUGGCGGAACUGGCAGACGCGCAAGAUUUAGGAUCUUGUGCCUUAUACGGCAUGGGGGUUCGAUUCCCCCCCCUCGCACCA